RNAcentral lists this ribosomal RNA (301 nucleotides) under uncultured bacterium. RNAcentral describes it as "partial 16S ribosomal RNA". It matches the Rfam family "Bacterial small subunit ribosomal RNA", at positions 509 to 807 of the family's 1533-position model. The record is from RNAcentral.
CAGUAGCCGCGGUAAUACGUAGGGUGCGAGCGUUAAUCGGAAUUACUGGGCGUAAAGCGUGCGCAGGCGGUUAUAUAAGACAGAUGUGAAAUCCCCGGGCUCAACCUGGGACCUGCAUUUGUGACUGUAUAGCUAGAGUACGGUAGAGGGGGAUGGAAUUCCGCGUGUAGCAGUGAAAUGCGUAGAUAUGCGGAGGAACACCGAUGGCGAAGGCAAUCCCCUGGACCUGUACUGACGCUCACGCACGAAAGCGUGGGGAGCAAACAGGAUUAGAUACCCGUGUAGUCCCUGUCUCUUAUAC